GGUAUAUAUGAGGAAUACAUUAUAUCUAAGAUAUUAUUUAUUGUAGAUAGAAAAGAAUGUACCCAGUAAUUGCAAAUAAAUGUUAUAUAGAAAAUUAGUAGAAAAAUAAUUUUAUGUUCAAAUUGAUAGAUGAAUUCUCUUUGUAUGUAAAGUGACGAUAUUAGUAAUAACCACUUCCCUACCUUGCCUAGAUACCACCGCUUCAAAUAUAUCAGAGCAUUCAUCAAAGAAUUUAGAAUUUUUAAUUAAAUGUGCAACUAAAUAAUAAUCCAAAUAAUCCUCCGCAUCAUAAUCAAAAGUAAGUAAAAAGUCCAAAAAAAUUGUUAAUUCUUCCAUUUAUGAAUUUAUAC
Molecule: long non-coding RNA, 350 nt
Filed under: Drosophila guanche
Lineage: Eukaryota; Metazoa; Arthropoda; Insecta; Diptera; Drosophilidae
Source: RNAcentral